RNAcentral lists this long non-coding RNA (249 nucleotides) under Physcomitrium patens. RNAcentral describes it as "long non-coding RNA (PPAT_LNC004978)". Lineage: Eukaryota; Viridiplantae; Streptophyta; Bryopsida; Funariales; Funariaceae. The record is from RNAcentral.
UAUAGCAAAAUGCAACAAAUAUUAAGAUAGAAUAAUGAUCCUUGAUACAAAUUAUACAAAUACAAGAUAUUAGACAUCAAAUUGGCACUAUACAUUAUGACUAUAUUAAAUGGACUAAAAUAAUAUAAUAUAAGUAAUGAGAAUAAUACAAAAUAAAAAUAAAAAAUAGAUAUACAUCAAAUAGAGUUGAAUAUCACAAAGUUAUCAACAACAAAGAAUGAAUUGAGAAUAUUGAAGAUAAAGAGUCAA